AUAGAGGUAGCCCAGCUGGUUAGAGCGUCCCGAUAAAAUCGGGAAGGUCGGCGGUUCAAGCCCGCCUCUCGCUA
This 74-nucleotide transfer RNA is filed under the name Prolixibacteraceae bacterium. RNAcentral describes it as "tRNA-Phe". It matches the Rfam family "tRNA". From Rfam's summary of the family: Transfer RNA (tRNA) molecules are approximately 80 nucleotides in length. The record is from RNAcentral. Lineage: Bacteria; Pseudomonadati; Bacteroidota; Bacteroidia; Marinilabiliales; Prolixibacteraceae.